CCUGAACGCUGGCGGCGUGGCUAAGACAUGCAAGUCGUACGGAUGUAGCAAUACAUCAGUGGCGAACGGGAGAGUAAUGAAUCGCUAAUGUGCCCCGGACUCUGGGAUAGCUAGUCGAAAGAUUAGGUAAUACCAGAUGAUAUAUCUCUAUCGCAUGAUAGAGAUCUCAAAGGUCCGCCGGUCUGGGAGCAGGCGAUUUCGUAUCAGCUAGUUGGUGAGGUAACGGCUCACCAAGGCGACGACGCGUAGCCGGACUGAGAGGUUGGCCGGCCUCAUUGGGACUGAGACACUGCCCAGACUCCUACGGGGGGCUGCAGUAACGAAUCUUCCGCAAUGCACGAAAGUGUGACGGAGCGACGCCGCGUGUGGGGACGAAG
This 377-nucleotide ribosomal RNA is filed under the name uncultured bacterium. RNAcentral's name for it is "bacterial SSU rRNA". It matches the Rfam family "Bacterial small subunit ribosomal RNA", at positions 30 to 413 of the family's 1533-position model. The record is from RNAcentral.